GUCCACGCCGUAAACGAUGGAUACUAGCUGUUGGGCGCAAGUUCAGUGGCUAAGCGAAGUGAUAAGUAUCCCACCUGGGAGUACGUUCGCAAGAAUGAACUCAAAGGAAUUGACGGGCCCGCACAAGCGGUGGAGCAUGUGGUUUAAUUCGAUGAUACGCGAGGAACCUUACCAAGGCUUAAAUGUAGAUUGACCGGUUUGGAAACAGACUUUUCGCAAGACAAUUUACAAGGUGCUGCAUGGUUGUCGU
This 250-nucleotide ribosomal RNA is filed under the name uncultured bacterium. Its description in RNAcentral is "partial 16S ribosomal RNA". It matches the Rfam family "Bacterial small subunit ribosomal RNA", at positions 793 to 1055 of the family's 1533-position model. The record is from RNAcentral.